CCCUUAGAUGUCCUGGGCCGCACGCGCGUUACACUGAUGCAUUCAACGAGCCUAUAACCUUGGCCGAGAGGCCUGGGCAAUCUUGUUAACGUGCAUCGUGAUAGGGAUAGAUUAUUGAAAUUAUUAAUCUUGAACGAGGAAUUCCUAGUAAACGCAGAUCAUCAAUCUGCAUUGAUUACGUCCCUGCCCUUUGUACACACCGCCCGUCGCUCCUACCGAUUGAAUGUUCCGGUGAGCUCUUCGGACUGCGCGGUCUGCAGUUUCUGCGUUCCGUGCGGAAAGUUGCGCAAACCUUAACAUUUAGAGGAAGGAGAAGUCGUAACA
RNAcentral lists this ribosomal RNA (324 nucleotides) under uncultured eukaryote. Its description in RNAcentral is "partial 18S ribosomal RNA". It matches the Rfam family "Eukaryotic small subunit ribosomal RNA", at positions 1470 to 1796 of the family's 1831-position model. The record is from RNAcentral.